Mustela erminea (ermine) is the source of this 87-nucleotide long non-coding RNA. RefSeq lists it as uncharacterized. The transcript is spliced from 3 exons. The record is from RefSeq and is a predicted model, not a curated record. NCBI's taxonomy places the organism in Eukaryota, Metazoa, Chordata, Mammalia, Carnivora, Mustelidae.
GGUGCCCUGAGAAAAAGGUUUAAAAGAAACGAUUUAAGAUUACACUUUAAGAAGCUGGAAAGGAUGAGCUCCUGGGCGGCUCACUGG